Long non-coding RNA from Triticum dicoccoides, 3716 nucleotides. RefSeq lists it as uncharacterized. The record is from RefSeq and is a predicted model, not a curated record. Lineage: Eukaryota; Viridiplantae; Streptophyta; Magnoliopsida; Poales; Poaceae. The transcript has 5 exons.
UUCACCGCCCCCAUCUUCCCUCCCCCAUACAACUGCUCCUGGUGCCUCUCCUGCACCGCCCUGCACCGGCGCCUCCUCGGCUCGCCGCGCGUCGCGGGAUCGUUUCCCCUCCUCGCACACUGUCGACACUGCCAUAGGCGGAGGUGCUGCCGCCCACGCAAUCUAACACCGAGGCGAGGCGCCGGCGCAUCGACACCAAUGCGGGAUCCGUCCGCUCUCCUCGCUUGCCGUUGAUGCCGGCCAUAGGCGGAGAUGCCUCUGCCCCACGUGAUCUGGCAAGGUCGUCUACCGUCACAACUACCCUUGAGAUCCAGUGAGGUCGCCUUCCGUCACGGCUGCAGGUGACUUGGGCGUGGUAGUCGUCCCCAUCAUCACCGCUAUCCCCAUGGCACGCGGUGGUCCUUCCUGGCUUCGAGGACUUCCAGACCCAAAGCUCAUUUGUGCUACGAUGUGUUUACUGGAAUGCAUCUUCAACAAUGGUACCAUGCAUUUCCUCUUCUAGCCAAUUUAUUUGGUGUAUCCUUUUGUUGUGAGGAAAACAAUUGUUUACCCUUUUCUUCUUGAAACAGAUAAAUGUUGCAUUAGUUCACCCUGUCAUUAUCUCAUUCCACCCCUAACACAUGUUAUAACUUUUCUUCUUUGAUCAUUGAUGCUCUUCCAAACUGCAGGGGCUAAUAGAAUAUCUUCCUGAAAAUUUCCUUGCUCCAGUACAUUUAAAACGAUGAACUUCCUUUCUUCAGUAGAAGUGCUGCCCCCGUGGAUAUAUAUGGGAACCACUUUCUACAAUAUAAAUGAGGUGGAUAAGUGGAUGGCACAUGUGUAUAUUGCUGUUGAGGGAUUAUAUUUGACAUUUUAUUUUUAUCCCAACACUAGAUUGAAGUGGUGAUUUACAAAGGAUUUUUAGUGGGGCACAAGUGUAGAUUGAUACAAAAGCAUGCUGAAUAGUGAAGUAGUACCAUGCUAGAAUUACUUGGCUACAUUUUUUUUGUUUCUUUGAUGCAAUGUAAUCUUUGUUGUUCCUGUUAUUAGUGAUUUUUCUAGAACAUCGGGUAAGCACUAUGCUAAAAAAAAGCUAUUCUAGAAAAGGAUGAGAAGAGCUAUUCCAGAAAAGGAUGAGAAGAGCCUCAAGGUACAUUCUUUUUAUUCUGCCAGUGUGUCUUACAUAUUUUCUAGCUUGCAAUGCUUUAUAAGAUAUUUCAUAUGGAGGUCAAUGUUGAAAAAAAAGGAGUAGUCAACUUGUGGAGAACAAUGUUAAUCAAGCUCUCAUGAUAUUUCCUCUGCUUCAAGAUGCUUUCUCAGCUAUUUGUUAACAUGCUUCUGAACUUUGAUUUUCUUUACUAAACUAGACCAUUGUGCAGGAUCAUGAUGGGUCGUCCUUAAAAAUCUUGACAAUUACCCUUGACACAACACAUGGGAUGUGCUCAAUCCUACUUAUUUUUGUCUGUUAUUUUAUAUAUGUUUUUCACCUCAGAGAUUUUAUUAAAUUUCAGUUGGGUUAUAACAAGAGAUGCAAAUAAAGAACUUUAUUACGGGUUUUCAUAAAACAAAUAUAUACUUCCAAAUACCUUGAAGGUUAUUGAUUAUAUGCAGCAAGGCCAUUUGAUUAAGUUGGCUCUUUUUUGACACCAAUUUAUAUGCAAGCUAUUUGAAUAUAUAUUUGUGGAAGAAAGUACAGAAGUGUGUUUGGGUGAGGCCAAGGUUAAACAUCUCACAUUUUGUUUCAGAAAUCAUCUCUACUUAAGUCCAAGAGGUCAUCAGGUGAUGAGAUGGAUGAACUCCCAGUUUGCAUUUAUUGGGAGCUAUGAAACUGGUAAAAUGAUUAUGGUUCCCGCAACUCCUAAGCCUAUUACAUUGGAACUUGGUGAAGAAGACCUAUUCCUAUUUGAGUAUGUUGACAUCGACAAAAGGCAGCAAAGAGAACAAGUAUUGAAGGGGGCAUAAAGAACUAUGGGAGAAGCAUCCAUUUGACAAGCUCAAAGUCAUUGGUUCGCACUACCGUGGUUAUAUCAAAGAUGCAAUGGGAAAGAAAGUUAGCUUGUUCACCAUCUUGACUGCAUUUUCAUUGUUUCUUAUUAGGCCUGAGAUGUAGAUAUACUGGUAGGCAUUCUUCACCCAUUAUGACUGAAGCCUGAUUAUCACAUUGUAUUGCCAUGCGUUACAAACUGUUUUUGAAAUGUAACUCCUGCACAUCAUACGAGAACUUGGUUUAGAUUAUGAUUAUUCAUUUACAUAUCAUUAUUUACACUCUUGUCUUAGAGUAAGAAAACUUGGUUCUUUGAAGUUCAGAUUAUGAGUUCACAAUUAGUUUAAUCCUGACCAUGUACAGUUUUUUGUAUAAAAUGGUGCGUAUUUUUGUACAGAAAGAAGCGAGAGCACAUGGUAUUUAUAGUUUCUGCUUACCUCUGACCUUGGUUACUUUGAAUGAUUAUAUGCUUACUCACCGAGUAUAAUAGCUCAUUUUUUGUUCUUUGAAGAAUUGAAGGUAUUACUAUACUCACUGGGUAUAAUAGCUCAAUUUUUGUUCUUUCUAACUACUAAGUGAUAAAAUGUUAUGCUGCAAUAUUUGGUUCCUGUUUUAGUGGAAAUUGGAGCUUUUACCUAUAGUUUGCGGAAAUCUGUGUUUUGAAUACUUUCAAUGAGGCAGAGGUUAAAUGCUCUGUAAAUAAAGACAGACAACAAGGAUUAGUGAGUUUAUGUCUUUGUUUGUACUGUUUUUAUACAAGGACAACAAUGAACGACAUAUGUACUUUUCAUCCUAUUUGUUUCUAGCAUGUAAAUGUAAGUAUUUCUUCAUACACGUGAGAAAGAAAAUAUUAGUUCUUACACGUUUGAGGAUAUGUAUAACCAUAAUAUGUAAUGCAAUUGUGGUGAGGUAGAACGAGGAGGAGAGGUGUGUGAUGCUAGACAUAUUAGCAAAAUUUUUAGUUCAGUUGAUUACAUUCAUGAGUGUUCUUCCGUUGCAACAUACGGGCCUUGUUCACUGCAUACACAGAUAUACUACUAUCUUAUAGAAUAUGUUGAUCAAGGAUGAAGAGGUGGAUAAGUUUGUGGCUUUAGUUACUGAAUGUCCAGAUCUGGCUUGCUUCUCAACUAGGGCCUACAUUUAGAGAAGACAUAUUCAUAUGUACGUGAUUUAUAAGGUCCUUUUUCUAUACAUGUUUGCAAAGUUUGUCGGUAUAUUAUGCAGAGACAACUUGCCAUGGUCUGCGUAGAUGUGUUCUUUAUUUCUCAAUUUCUUUUGCUUUAAAACGAUGUUGAUUGGCUGAAAGAAUGGUUCUGCAUGGUUUGCACUCACACCUACUUGAAUUUAGAGUUUUAUUAGCAAAUCCAUUUAGAACAGUGUUAACAUUUUACAUUUUUCUACAGAAAGUUGUACACUGCAGGGGUCUAUACCCACAAACCAAGGAAGGCAACUCAGAAGUUUUUCCCUGCCAAUAACCAAGAUUCACAAGGAUAGGAGGGCAGAGAUAUCAUGCUGCCAUGGAACUGGUCCAUUUGUCAUUGCCUUGCUGCUUUCAUGUUCCCUGAUAUUCAGUAGCCAUAUACUUUUAGGACUUAGGAUGUGAUUUCACAUGCGUUGCUGAUCAUAGUUGAUGCUUUUGUCGGUUCAGGGUGAGCUAUUUUGUGUACAAUUGCUAUUGGCCGUGUAAUGACUGGCUAUGCAUGGCUCUGUUUUAUUGAGCUUAGAUGAAAAUUUGAUGGACCACCUAAAUUCA